AUGAAAUAUAGAAAAUCUGUAAAAAAAAAUAUAUUCUGUAAAAUUGUGUCUUCAACAUUAAGUAUAAAAUUAAGUAAAUGUUUUUUGUAUGUUUUUCUUCCACAGAGUGCUAAAGAGUUGAUUAAAAAGAUCAUUGACACUUCCAAGGCCUCCAACAUAGAGCGAACAGACCCAGGGUACGAGAGCAUGGACCACUUUAUUAUCAACACUGACGACAUAGCUGACAUGCUGAGGACAAUAGACUUCCAAUCAGGUACCUUCCACUGCCAGAUACCAUAGGUUUCUUUGUCAAAUGCACUGUGUGUAAGUGUUAGCUCAUCUCUGCCCUCUUGAUUUCUUUCUGGAGUGGCUCAGCCCACACUCUUAUAGUCACGGACUCCUCCUCUCUUGUUUAAUUCAACUUGCCCUGGAACUUUGCUGUGCCUUUUGACCUAAUAACUUUUUUUUACGUUCUUGAAAUCAGAAGUACAGUACCCCAGUUUAUUAUGGUUUAUUAGUACCUCGGUUUAUUAAGGUUUAUGUAUAGUUUUAAACUGAUAAAAUAGCAAUUACAGAUGUGAAUAGGAAAGACAAAAGCCCUAUUAUUUGUA
This 590-nucleotide long non-coding RNA is filed under the name Lepisosteus oculatus (spotted gar). RNAcentral describes it as "lncRNA (ENSLOCG00000021200.1)". Lineage: Eukaryota; Metazoa; Chordata; Actinopteri; Semionotiformes; Lepisosteidae. The record is from RNAcentral.